GUGCUUACUUCGGCAGCACAUAUACUAAAAUUGGAACGAUACAGAGAAGAUUAGCAUGGCCCCUACGCAAGGAUGACACACAAAUUCAUGAAGCAGUCCAUAUUUUU
RNAcentral lists this small nuclear RNA (107 nucleotides) under Sus scrofa (pig). Lineage: Eukaryota; Metazoa; Chordata; Mammalia; Artiodactyla; Suidae. The record is from RNAcentral. RNAcentral also lists the same sequence under 1 other name.